UACGUAGGGCGCAAGCGUUGUCCGGAAUUAUUGGGCGUAAAGAGCUCGUAGGCGGUUUGUCACGUCGGAUGUGAAAGCCCGGGGCUUAACCCCGGGUCUGCAUUCGAUACGGGCAGACUAGAGUGUGGUAGGGGAGAUCGAAUUCCUGGUGUAGCGGUGAAAUGCGCAGAUAUCAGGAGGAACACCGGUGGCGAAGGCGGAUCUCUGGGCCAUUACUGACGCUGAGGAGCGAAAGCGUGGGGAGCGAACAGG
RNAcentral lists this ribosomal RNA (252 nucleotides) under uncultured bacterium. RNAcentral's name for it is "partial 16S ribosomal RNA". It matches the Rfam family "Bacterial small subunit ribosomal RNA", at positions 524 to 776 of the family's 1533-position model. The record is from RNAcentral.